RNAcentral lists this signal recognition particle RNA (220 nucleotides) under Pseudomonadota bacterium. RNAcentral's name for it is "Proteobacteria bacterium (cold seep metagenome) partial signal recognition particle sRNA large type". It matches the Rfam family "Bacterial large signal recognition particle RNA", at positions 1 to 215 of the family's 256-position model. From Rfam's summary of the family: The signal recognition particle (SRP) is a universally conserved ribonucleoprotein involved in the co-translational targeting of proteins to membranes. Archaeal SRP consists of a 7S RNA and homologues of the eukaryotic SRP19 and SRP54 proteins. The record is from RNAcentral. Lineage: Bacteria; Pseudomonadati; Pseudomonadota.
GCGCGCUAGACGGGGAAUUAGCGGUGCCCUGUGACCCGCAAUCCGCUACAGCGGGGUCGAACAUCUGAACGAGGCCCUCCAGUUCUCGUUCGCGACAGGAGUCAGGCGGUGUUGAGGGUCAGGUCCCGCGCAAUCGAGCCCGGUGAAUCCGGUCAGAGCCGGAAGGCAGCAGCCGUAAGCCGGUCACUCGAUGUGCCGCGGGGGCGCUUGGCCGGAGCCU